RNAcentral lists this unclassified non-coding RNA (180 nucleotides) under soil metagenome. RNAcentral's name for it is "partial contains 5.8S ribosomal RNA, internal transcribed spacer 2, and large subunit ribosomal RNA". The record is from RNAcentral.
AACUGAUACUACCUGCGGGAACCUGCGGAGGGAUCAUUAUUGAAUUGCCGGUACUAGGUACGUUGGCAGCAUUUUUUGUCCCAACCUGAUCAGCCGAAUGGCAUUGCUGGAGCUUGACUGAAACUUAGCGGGCGCAUGCCCAUGAGUAUAAUGUAACACAACUUUUAGCAACGGAUCUCU